This is a long non-coding RNA of Grus americana (Whooping crane), 4379 nucleotides long. RefSeq lists it as uncharacterized. The record is from RefSeq and is a predicted model, not a curated record. The transcript has 2 exons. Lineage: Eukaryota; Metazoa; Chordata; Aves; Gruiformes; Gruidae.
AUAGGUUCUGUGAACACAUCAAAACAAUGGAAAUAAUUUGAUCUGUCUAGAAUUUAUGACAAACUUCAUUAUACAGUUGACUAUGUUUCCUGCUGCAUUUUAUCACUUUAGAUUUUAUUAGACACAGUUUCUUCCCUAGAAUAUCCUGUCAUAGUAAUUGAGGUAGUCAGUUAAGUAGUUUGCGUAUCUGAGUCAUUAGGUUCUCAGAAUACAUUAGCAGUUUCUGAAUUUUGUCCUUUAAGGAUUUUGUCAUAAUCAGAUAUUAAUCUUCUCAUUCUAGCUAAAACUAAAAGUCUUGCUACAGCAAAAGACUAUUUAUGUUAUUUUCCCUAACUGUUAAAUACACUUGCAUUAAAAUGUUACUCUAUGAUGUUUGAAAUAAGCUGCUGAUUUUUCCUGUACAGAACAAGCAACAGUCAGGCACCAGGUGGUGCCAAAGAUAAGCCGGAAAAGAAAGUGAAACAAGUGCAAGGAGUGCUCAGAAAGAGCAAAGAACAACUGCAAGAUACUCAGUUUCUGUUUUCAGUAAAUUAGGAGCAAUGUACCGUAAUGUCAGCAGUAUGGUGAGAUUAGGAACGAAACCAUUUGCAGAGGUGAAGAAUAGUACAAAAAUAUGUCACGAAUGAGCAAUAAUCUGUGUUCUUAUCGUCUAGCUUUAAGAUUCUGAUAUGCUUUUAAAACAAACUUAACAGCUACAGAGCAAAAGUACCAUGUAAAGAUGUACAGUUAAACUGGGAGGAUAUGUACAUCUGUUUUUAUUUGCACAAGGCAAAUAUAAUAUUUGAAUUUUUAAAUAUAAGAGAGUUAAAAUGAAGCAUACAACCAAAAUGAACUUAGCCAGGCAUCAUCUGUAGUUUAGCCUUUUGGUGGUUCUGGGGUUGUCUGAGCGGAGUUGAGGAAGUGCCUCUGGCAAACCAGCGUAAUGUUCCUGAGUUGUGACACUUAGGUCUGUGUGCCAUGUACCAUCUUGCUCCACGUCAGAUACCAAAAAUUAUGAGAGUUUGAAACCAGCUGUUGAAUGAGAAAGGAGGAAGCGGGUUGUUCCUUUUUUUUUUUUCUCAACAAAACUGUGUCAGAGCUGCUGUUGAGCAAGAUGGGUGGUAUUCUGUUCACCAGUUGAUGGUGACAUGGGAAUGGUGGUUUUCAUCUAGAUUUUAGAGAGUGAAUAUGCUAUAAAUACAGCAUUAAGAGGUGUAAUAUAGGACAGGAAAUAUAGAAGCAGGGAAUAAUCCCUGUUGCUGUCAUCAUUGUUCAGUGUGUUCCUUAGGGAAUUUUACGUGGGGAAAAUUCAAUCACCCAAAAGACCAGUAUUCUCCAGCAGAGUAAUAGAGUAUUUAUAUGUUUGAGAACAUGUUGCUGCAAUGCCUCCCACAGAUAUAACACAGAUUUCAAGUGACUCUACUCAACUUGCUCCAGUGCUGCCUUGGUCAGGUGUCCUCAUCUGGAGAACUUGGUUAUUUACAGCUGAUGUUAUGUGGUGUGCAUAUAUAGUUUACACUGGCCUUUGCCGUGUUAGACACUUUGAAACAAUUUACGCAGGCAUAGGAUGAUGUUUGCAUGUGACAUCAAACAGUCUUUGUGAACGGACAUACUUUCCUGGUUGACUUUGUGACAUUAAUAGUUAAGAUGACGUUUUCCUGAUGUACCAGCAGAGGGCAUCGAGUUCCUCGAGUCUUCAUGCGACUUUCAAAAGCCCACGUAGCGGUGUUUGAACAAGGAACAGGUUGGGGGGCAUAGUGGUUAUUUCAAAGAUUGCUUUGAGAAAGCAACGGCAAGUGUUUUAAUAGUCUAUGAUAUAACAUUCCCUCUUUUCUGUAUAUCGAUUUUCUUUUAUCUAAAGGCAUUCAGAUGCCUGUAUCCUCACUCAAGUUUCUGCUCACCAAUUUAAAUCCUUUUCCUGGCAGAGCAGACACUACGAUCAAGAAGUUAUUUUCCCAGGAUGCGGCUCAUCCUCUGUGCCAUGGGUGUUCACCUGGAAAGAAACUUGAUGCCAUAAACUUGUAAGUUAUCGUAUAUGGAACACAGCAAAAUAUAUAUUUUUUUUUAAUUUACUGAUUCUAUUAAUUCAUUCCUUCCUUACUGGUUUUCAUGGCAAACUGACGUACAACAAAAUGGAUGACUGGUACAAUGUUCCUUUAUGACUAAUUCAUUUUCAGCAUGCCAUGAAGCUUUUGUGGGAAGGAGUGAGUACUGUCUAAAUCUGAAUAAAUCAUUUAACUUCUUUGUUACUGUAGUUGUAUUUUAUGCCAAUAGUACUUAGACUGUAAUAAAAAAACCCCACCAAACCUGAAAAACAGUACAAUGAAAACAUACUUUUAGAUUUAAGUGAAAGUUAAUAUUAUGGUUGCUUAUGGUUAAGUUCUCUCCUACAUAUGUAGGCUUCUACAUCUAAAAAUGCUGAUUGUGCACUGACUCUUUUAAAAAUCAAAAGAAAAUGCUAGGACCUCAACACUUUUUAAUCCAUGCCUAUUUGUUUGGGGUCAACAAAUAAUUAAGAACCUUACCUCUGAGACAAAUUAUUUUUCCAGGUUUGAAAAUGAAAAUAAGAUUUAAAAAUAAAGUUAUUUUAUUCCUUAUGUGUAUACAAACUUUGAAACAAAGCUUUGAGUGCUGCAGUAUAUUUCAGAAAAUAAAAUGUCAUGUACGGUGUUCUUGCUGUAGAGAGAGCAAGCUUUGAAAGCAAGUCAGCCAGCAACAAAAUUACCAGUCUUUAGUCUUCAAGACAUUAGGGGGCACCACGACUUCACAGACUUAAAAUGCUGUAAAUUAAAGUACAGUCACUUUUCCUGUCCAAAGUAAACAGGAAACAGCAUAAAAUAGCAAAAUCAACUCCUGGAGUCAUUCCCUAGUGCGAGAUUAUGAUACAGUUCUCAGUAAAAUUUCCAACAGAAGACAACACAGACAUUUAGUAGAAUAUAGAUUACACCCUCUUUUCUGUAAGAGUAAUAAAACUAACAAACUAAUGGAUGCAAUAUAAGCAGCUUGCUUUCAAGGCUUUAUUUAAAUCUUAAAUUUUCCUUCAGAGUUUCAUUCUGGGAAUACAACAUUUUCAGCUCAAGCCUCGAAGGCAUUACAGCGUUAGUUCAACCCGUAGAGCAAAGCUCUGUAUAGGGAGGGAGCGCACAGUGAGCUUGGGAUGGAGCUGCUUUAAAUCCAGGUCCCUGAACUGGGUAUCGUGCUUGGGGGAGUCACCAUAAACUAUCAGACUGCACCACCAAACGCGUGUGCUGUAACGAUGAUGUGUAAAUCUCACACCGCUACAAGGGACAUUAACAGUCUUAGCUCUGACACACCGACAUGGCAGAUGAUUUACUCAGCAGGUGAUGUACCUAGCAAACAUGUCUGGGAAGGAAUUGCAAAGAUGCAUGUCUGCGCAGAGGGAAGAAAGUGUCUGUUCAGAGGGUUGCUGGUCUUGAAGAGGGAUGACAGCUGUGACUUCAAACGCUGAUUUGCAGGCCUGAAAACCAAGAUGCCUUGCUGUUGUUCCUCUGCAGCUGAAAUGAUGACAUGCUUGAUGUAAUAGAGAUUAGCAGCUGGACAACAAGCUUAUAAGCAAAAUGCCUGUCAUUCCUGGAAGACUCACGCUGCUCUCCCUAGAGUUCUUAUGGUUUCACCUAGACACCUGAGGCCUUACUCGCAUCAGCUGUGAAGGAUGAUUUUCAAUGGAAAUCUACACUGUAAAAAAUACCCAGAUGUAACAUUUAAGAAUAUAUGGUCUACUGCAUAAAAUGAAAUCAUGUGGUAGUAGCAUGCUUGGAGUAUGGAUAAAGUAAUCAACCAACUAAAAUUUCAUGGUGGAAGAUGACUAGCAGUAGGGAAAAGUAUGUCACAAUAUACGAGAAACUCAUCUAAUUUAUGCAAGUGGAAAACAUGACUCAUAGUCUUUGGAGCUGGGCUGGGGAGUGACUGGAUUUCACAAAGUAAAACAGCGUUCUGUUGCUACAAUUUCUACUUUCUCUACUGCCUGAAUAUGGACACCUUAGUAAAAAUCUUGCCAUGAAUGGAGGCUGUGGUUAGAACUAAUGGAGUACCAGAGGUCCCGGUUAGUGUGGGAGGUGGACUAGGGCAGUCAGUAGCUGCUAGAGAUUAUCGCUCCUCUACAGCCUGAAAUAGCCGAGAGGGUCAGUGUGUCAGCCUACAAACCUGUGUACGUGAUGAUCAAGAUCUGGGUUGCUAUACUGGCAGAAAUCAUUUUCUCAUGUGAUCGGUCACACAAAGAAAAGAUUAUUACCCCUAGGAACUCUCUCAGACCUUCUGCAUCAUAAGUUUGUGCCUAAAGAUAUGUAUACUAUGGAUAUAUGUGAAUACAAAGCUUGUGAAGAAUAAUACAUGUAUGAGCUAUAAUAUGGUACCUGAGAAAAUACAUACAGACCUGUUUU